RNAcentral lists this ribosomal RNA (497 nucleotides) under uncultured bacterium. RNAcentral describes it as "partial 16S ribosomal RNA". It matches the Rfam family "Bacterial small subunit ribosomal RNA", at positions 28 to 507 of the family's 1533-position model. The record is from RNAcentral.
GACGAACGCUGGCGGCGUGCCUAAUACAUGCAAGUUGAGCGCUGAAGGUUGGUACUUGUACCAACUGGAUGAGCAGCGAACGGGUGAGUAACGCGUGGGGAAUCUGCCUUUGAGCGGGGGACAACAUUUGGAAACGAAUGCUAAUACCGCAUAAAAACUUUAAACACAAGUUUUAAGUUUGAAAGAUGCAAUUGCAUCACUCAAAGAUGAUCCCGCGUUGUAUUAGCUAGUUGGUGAGGUAAAGGCUCACCAAGGCGAUGAUACAUAGCCGACCUGAGAGGGUGAUCGGCCACAUUGGGACUGGGAACCGGCCCAAACCCCUUCGGGAGGCAGCAGUAGGGAAUCUUCGGCAAUGGACGAAAGUCUGACCGAGCAACGCCGCGUGAGUGAAGAAGGGUUUCGGAUCGUAAAACUCUGUUGGUAGAGAAGAACGUUGGUGGGAGUGGAAAGCUCAUCAAGUGACGGUAACUACCCAGAAAGGGACGGCUAACUACGUG